GAGCUUGCUCCAGGCGUCGAGCGGCGGACGGGUGAGUAAUGCAUAGGAAUCUGCCCGGUAGUGGGGGAUAACCUGGGGAAACCCAGGCUAAUACCGCAUACGUCCUACGGGAGAAAGCAGGGGAUCUUCGGACCUUGCGCUAUCGGAUGAGCCUAUGUCGGAUUAGCUUGUUGGUGAGGUAAUGGCUCACCAAGGCGACGAUCCGUAGCUGGUCUGAGAGGAUGAUCAGCCACAUCGGGACUGAGACACGGCCCGAACUCCUACGGGAGGCAGCAGUGGGGAAUAUUGGACAAUGGGCGAAAGCCUGAUCCAGCCAUGCCGCGUGUGUGAAGAAGGCUUUCGGGUUGUAAAGCACUUUCAGUGAGGAAGAAGGCCUUGGGGCUAAUACCCCCGAGGAAGGACAUCACUCACAGAAGAAGCACCGGCUAACUCCGUGCCAGCAGCCGCGGUAAUACGGAGGGUGCGAGCGUUAAUCGGAAUUACUGGGCGUAAAGCGCGCGUAGGCGGCGUGAUAAGCCGGUUGUGAAAGCCCCGGGCUCAACCUGGGAACGGCAUCCGGAACUGUCAGGCUAGAGUGCAGGAGAGGAAGGUAGAAUUCCCGGUGUAGCGGUGAAAUGCGUAGAGAUCGGGAGGAAUACCAGUGGCGAAGGCGGCCUUCUGGACUGACACUGACGCUGAGGUGCGAAAGCGUGGGUAGCAAACAGGAUUAGAUACCCUGGUAGUCCACGCCGUAAACGAUGUCGACUAGCCGUUGGGGUCCUAGAGACCUUUGUGGCGCAGUUAACGCGAUAAGUCGACCGCCUGGGGAGUACGGCCGCAAGGUUAAAACUCAAAUGAAUUGACGGGGGCCCGCACAAGCGGUGGAGCAUGUGGUUUAAUUCGAUGCAACGCGAAGAACCUUACCUACCCUUGACAUCGUGCGAACUUUCCAGAGAUGGAUUGGUGCCUUCGGGAGCGCACAGACAGGUGCUGCAUGGCUGUCGUCAGCUCGUGUUGUGAAAUGUUGGGUUAAGUCCCGUAACGAGCGCAACCCUUGUCCCUAUUUGCCAGCGAUUCGGUCGGGAACUCUAGGGAGACUGCCGGUGACAAACCGGAGGAAGGUGGGGACGACGUCAAGUCAUCAUGGCCCUUACGGGUAGGGCUACACACGUGCUACAAUGGCCGGUACAAAGGGUUGCGAAGCCGCGAGGUGGAGCUAAUCCCGAAAAGCCGGUCUCAGUCCGGAUCGGAGUCUGCAACUCGACUCCGUGAAGUCGGAAUCGCUAGUAAUCGUGAAUCAGAAUGUCACGGUG
Molecule: ribosomal RNA, 1292 nt
Filed under: Halomonas ventosae
Lineage: Bacteria; Pseudomonadati; Pseudomonadota; Gammaproteobacteria; Oceanospirillales; Halomonadaceae
Description: bacterial SSU rRNA
Rfam family: Bacterial small subunit ribosomal RNA
Source: RNAcentral